This 442-nucleotide ribosomal RNA is filed under the name uncultured bacterium. RNAcentral's name for it is "partial 16S ribosomal RNA". It matches the Rfam family "Bacterial small subunit ribosomal RNA", at positions 338 to 795 of the family's 1533-position model. The record is from RNAcentral.
CCUACGGGCGGCAGCAGUGGGGAAUAUUGGGCAAUGGACGCAAGUCUGACCCAGCAACGCCGCGUGAAGGAAGAAGGCUUUCGGGUUGUAAACUUCUUUUAAGGGGGAAGAGCAGAAGACGGUACCCCUUGAAUAAGCCACGGCUAACUACGUGCCAGCAGCCGCGGUAAUACGUAGGUGGCAAGCGUUGUCCGGAUUUACUGGGUGUAAAGGGCGUGCAGCCGGAGAGACAAGUCAGAUGUGAAAUCCGCGGGCUCAACCCGCGAACUGCAUUUGAAACUGUUUCCCUUGAGUAUCGGAGAGGUCAUCGGAAUUCCUAGUGUAGCGGUGAAAUGCGUAGAUAUUAGGAGGAACACCAGUGGCGAAGGCGGCUUGCUGGACUGUAACUGACACUGAGGCUCGAAAGCGUGGGGAGCAAACAGGAUUAGAUACCCGGGUAGUC